GUAUCUUGUGAUUGUAAAUUUAUGUGUGUGAGGGGGAAUGUAGAAGGAGGAGAGAAUCAUAUAGAUAAUUAUUUCUGUUCUAUCCCACAGGAUUUAUUUUCCAUUUAGGGUCAUUUGGCCACCAGGAGAUGCCCAAGUCUCAAGCUGCAUAGUUUUGCCCCAGGCUCCACCCUAGCAAGGCUGAUUUUAGCCUCACCCUAAUUCCUUUCUGGGCUGGGAUGCUGCCAGGAUGGGCUGAACUCCAAGUAGCCAACCUACAACACUUCCCUACUGUUAAACUACCCACUUGGUUCCUGUCUGGUCUGAAUGAGACAGAGCACCGUAGCAGCCCAGGAAACCAAGAACAAAGAGCACAGCACCAGCCGCGAUGAGGAAGUAGCCCACGUUGACAAACUGCAUGGCACUGGACGACAGCGGCCCAAAGAUCUUCACAAAGGAUGGCCCAUCGACUGACACCCAGAUUCCCACAGCCAACAGGGCUGCACCACACAGCUGGGAACAGAGAAGUAAAACCAGGGGCUCAACGUCACAGUAACAAAGGAGGGCUGAAGUUUACACCUGCUACCAACCUUGAAGAGGGCUGAGGUGGAGAAGGUGCGCUCACCCUGAGCCUCUAGCUGGCUCCCCUUUGAGAUCAACUGCCAGGCCUGCUCCUCAUCUACCUAGACCUCUUUGCCUCACAAAUGGAAACACAGAGUGGGAAAGGUUCAUCAGCUCAACUCUAAUCCUCAGAGGGAGUCCUGAAGCUCUGAUGGGGGCAGGCCUGACUUAGUUUCCACACUCUUAGGGCAAGGCAAGGAUUGGGAGCAUAAACGGCCUGACACCAACGUGGUGCCUAGUUUCUACUUUCCAGUUACAGAAACCGAGGCUAGAAUUGGGCAUAUGGUAGCAAAUUGUGGCCAGAUCUCAGGUAUGUUUGCCUAAGACCAAAGCUGGCCUUUUAGCCUGUUGGAUCAAAUUUCAAGGAGCCUGCCGGUCUGCCCUACCCUGCUCUGGACAGCCUGGGUAGGCCUGGGCAACAGAGGCAGAAACCAAACAAGAUUUGCCUGUAACCCCUUCAGGACAGAAUCCCUGCUCUCCCUAUUUCUAGAACCCUAUCGCUCUCUCCAGACACGUGAAUAAAAGCUAAUUUCUUACAGCCAAAGGAAGCCCAAAGUACAGACCACACUAGAGUGAGAGUGCACUCCCCCAGUCUGAUCAGGCCAAAUCAUACUCCAAACCAGUGUACAUACUAUGCCUCUAUUCCUCACUUACUGUGGCUCCAAGUUCUUUGGUGACAUCCUGUGCUAAACCCAGUGAUCAUUUCAUGGGUCUUAUCUCCUGGACCUCUCUGCCAUCUUGCUUGUAUUUCCCCCUUCCCUUCUCUCUUACUGCUCCUCCAUUUCUUUCAUGGUAGCUAUUUUUUGCUCAUCCCUAAUAAUCCAAGUUUCCCAGGUUCACUUGCCUUGAGUGCCCUCACACACUGCCAUGGCAUCAAGGCCACCUAUGGGUACAUGACUUUCAAAUAUCCAUGGCCAGCUCCAGUCUGAGCUGCACCUCCAUUGGGUAACCAGCUGCCUAUGGGAUACCCCCUUCCAACUCCCUGUGUUACUCAUGCCAGAGACAGGAGCGCCAUCUCUAAGACCUCUGACUCUCUUGACACUUCUUGAGCUACAGCCCUGAGGUUUUGUCUAGUUUGUCCAUUUCUCCUUAUCUCCACCAUCUGCAGGGUUUACGCCUCACUGGCUGCUUUUCUAAUACGCCCUAUGUAAUCUGUUCCUGGUUUUCUGAGCAAUAUCAAAUUUCAUUACCUCUGAGUCUUUAUGCAUGUUUUAUAGCUCCCCCACCCAAUGCAAAUUCCCAGCUUCAGGUAUUUCCUCCAGGAAGUAUUCUCCCACUAGGCAGGGUUCAAGCUCCUCCUGUGGGUUCCCUUAACCCUCUGUUGAAACUGGGCAUACCAUGUUGCAAUUAGCUAUCUACUUGGCUUAUGGAUCUGAGAUCCUGGAAAGCAGCGACUGUCUUGCUAACCUGCUAUGCCAACACCUAGCACAGAGUUUUAAUUCCAUGACUGUU
Fukomys damarensis (Damara mole-rat) is the source of this 2052-nucleotide long non-coding RNA. RefSeq lists it as uncharacterized. The transcript is spliced from 3 exons. NCBI's taxonomy places the organism in Eukaryota, Metazoa, Chordata, Mammalia, Rodentia, Bathyergidae. The record is from RefSeq and is a predicted model, not a curated record.